CGUCUGGGAAACUGCCUGAUGGAGGGGGAUAACUACUGGAAACGGUAGCUAAUACCGCAUAACGUCGCAAGACCAAAGAGGGGGACCUUCGGGCCUCUUGCCAUCGGAUGUGCCCAGAUGGGAUUAGCUAGUAGGUGGGGUAACGGCUCACCUAGGCGACGAUCCCUAGCUGGUCUGAGAGGAUGACCAGCCACACUGGAACUGAGACACGGUCCAGACUCCUACGGGAGGCAGCAGUGGGGAAUAUUGCACAAUGGGCGCAAGCCUGAUGCAGCCAUGCCGCGUGUAUGAAGAAGGCCUUCGGGUUGUAAAGUACUUUCAGCGGGGAGGAAGGGAGUAAAGUUAAUACCUUUGCUCAUUGACGUUACCCGCAGAAGAAGCACCGGCUAACUCCGUGCCAGCAGCCGCGGUAAUACGGAGGGUGCAAGCGUUAAUCGGAAUUACUGGGCGUAAAGCGCACGCAGGCGGUUUGUUAAGUCAGAUGUGAAAUCCCCGGGCUCAACCUGGGAACUGCAUCUGAUACUGGCAAGCUUGAGUCUCGUAGAGGGGGGUAGAAUUCCAGGUGUAGCGGUGAAAUGCGUAGAGAUCUGGAGGAAUACCGGUGGCGAAGGCGGCCCCCUGGACGAAGACUGACGCUCAGGUGCGGAAGCGUGGGGAGCAAACAGGACUAGAUACCCCUGGUAGUCCACGCCGUAAACGAUGUCGACUUGGAGGUUGUGCCCUUGAGGCGUGGCUUCCGGAGCUAACGCGUUAAGUCGACCGCCUGGGGAGUACGGCCGCAAGGUUAAAACUCAAAUGAAUUGACGAGGGCCCGCACAAGCGGUGGAGCAUGUGGUUUAAUUCGAUGCAACGCGAAGAACCUUACCUGGUCUUGACAUCCACGGAAGUUUUCAGAGAUGAGAAUGUGCCUUCGGGAACCGUGAGACAGGUGCUGCAUGGCUGUCGUCAGCUCGUGUUGUGAAAUGUUGGGUUAAGUCCCGCAACGAGCGCAACCCUUACCCUUUGUUGCCAGCGGUCCGGCCGGGAACUCAAAGGAGACUGCCAGUGAUAAACUGGAGGAAGGUGGGGAUGACGUCAAGUCAUCAUGGCCCUUACGACCCGGGCUACACACGUGCUACAAUGGCGCAUACAAAGAGAAGCGACCUCGCGAGAGCAAGCGGACCUCAUAAAGUGCGUCGUAGUCCGGAUUGGAGUCUGCAACUCGACUCCAUGAAGUCGGAAUCGCUAGUAAUCGUGGAUCAGAAUGCCACGGUGAAUACGUUCCCGGGCCUUGUACACACCGCCCGUCACACCAUGGGAGUGGGUUGCAAAAGAAGUAGGUAGCUUAACCUUCGGGAGGGCGCUUACCACUUUGUGAUUCAUGACUGGGGUGAAGUCGGAACAAGGUA
This 1388-nucleotide ribosomal RNA is filed under the name metagenome. RNAcentral's name for it is "bacterial SSU rRNA". It matches the Rfam family "Bacterial small subunit ribosomal RNA". The record is from RNAcentral.